GAUGAACGCUGGCGGCGUGCCUAAUACAUGCAAGUCGAGCGAACGGACGAGAAGCUUGCUUCUCUGAUGUUAGCGGCGGACGGGUGAGUAACACGUGGAUAACCUACCUAUAAGACUGGGAUAACUUCGGGAAACCGGAGCUAAUACCGGAUAAUAUUUUGAACCGCAUGGUUCAAAAGUGAAAGACGGUCUUGCUGUCACUUAUAGAUGGAUCCGCGCUGCAUUAGCUAGUUGGUAAGGUAACGGCUUACCAAGGCAACGAUGCAUAGCCGACCUGAGAGGGUGAUCGGUCACACUGGAACUGAGACACGGUCCAGACUCCUACGGGAGGCAGCAGUAGGGAAUCUUCCGCAAUGGGCGAAAGCCUGACGGAGCAACGCCGCGUGAGUGAUGAAGGUCUUCGGAUCGUAAAACUCUGUUAUUAGGGAAGAACAUAUGUGUAAGUAAAUGUGAACAUCUUGACGGUACCUAAUCAGAAAGCCACGGCUAACUACGUG
Molecule: ribosomal RNA, 497 nt
Filed under: uncultured bacterium
Lineage: Bacteria
Description: partial 16S ribosomal RNA
Rfam family: Bacterial small subunit ribosomal RNA
Source: RNAcentral